This 503-nucleotide ribosomal RNA is filed under the name uncultured diatom. RNAcentral's name for it is "SSU rRNA". It matches the Rfam family "Eukaryotic small subunit ribosomal RNA", at positions 451 to 954 of the family's 1831-position model. The record is from RNAcentral. Lineage: Eukaryota; Bacillariophyta.
CUGACACAGAGAGGUAGUGACAAUAAAUAACAAUGACGGGCCUCUUCAGGUUUGUCACUUGGAAUGAGAGCAAUUUAAAUAAAUCAUCGAGUAACAAUUGGAGGGCAAGUCUGGUGCCAGCAGCCGCGGUAAUUCCAGCUCCAAUAGCGUAUACUAAUAUUGCUGCAGUUAAAAAGCUCGUAGUUGAAUUUCUGGUGACACGGUCUGGCCGGUUACUUAAUUGUGACUUGUGCCAUCGCCUUGUUGCCAUCUUUGGUUUAACCAAUCUGGCAUUAGGUUGUCGGGUUGGUGAUACCAAUCGUUUACUGUGAAGAAAUUAGAGUGUUCAAAGCAGGCUUAUGCCGUUGAAUAUUUUAGCAUGGAAUAAUAAGAUAGGACUUUGGUGCUAUUUUGUUGGUUUGCGCACUAGAGUAAUGAUUAAUAGGGACAGUUGGGGAUAUUUGUACUAGGGAAUUAGAGGUGAAAUUCUUGGAUUUCCUUAUGACAAACGACUGCGAAAGCUA